GAUGAACGCUGGCGGCGUGCCUAAUACAUGCAAGUCGAGCGAACGGACGAGAAGCUUGCUUCUCUGAUGUUAACGGCGGACGGGUGAGUAACACGUGGAUAACCUACCUAUAAGACUGGGAUAACUUCGGGAAACCGGAGCUAAUACCGGAUAAUAUUUUGAACCGCAUGGUUCAUAAGUGAAAGACGGUCUUGCUGUCACUUAUAGAUGGAUCCGCGCUGCAUUAGCUAGUUGGUAAGGUAACGGCUUACCAAGGCAACGAUGCAUAGCCGACCUGAGAGGGUGAUCGGCCACACUGGAACUGAGACACGGUCCAGACUCCUACGGGAGGCAGCAGUAGGGAAUCUUCCGCAAUGGGCGAAAGCCUGACGGAGCAACGCCGCGUGAGUGAUGAAGGUCUUCGGAUCGUAAAACUCUGUUAUUAGGGAAGAACAUAUGUGUAAGUAACUGUGCACAUCUUGACGGUACCUAAUCAGAAAGCCACGGCUAACUACGUG
This 497-nucleotide ribosomal RNA is filed under the name uncultured bacterium. Its description in RNAcentral is "partial 16S ribosomal RNA". It matches the Rfam family "Bacterial small subunit ribosomal RNA", at positions 28 to 507 of the family's 1533-position model. The record is from RNAcentral.